This 1244-nucleotide ribosomal RNA is filed under the name metagenome. RNAcentral describes it as "bacterial LSU rRNA". It matches the Rfam family "Bacterial large subunit ribosomal RNA", at positions 1564 to 2818 of the family's 2925-position model. The record is from RNAcentral.
UGAAUACGAGACGCUAAGGCGUCGAAGUAGUGUAUGUCAUACUUCCAAGAAAAGCUUGCACUGUCAUAGAUAAAAAACGCCUGUACCAUAACCGACACAGGUGGGUAGGUAGAGUAUACUAAGGGGCGCGAGAUAACUCUCUCUAAGGAACUCGGCAAAAUAACUCCGUAACUUCGGGAGAAGGAGUGCCUUAUUCGUAAGGUUGCAAUAACAAGAUCCAAGCAACUGUUUAUCAAAAACACAGGUCUCCGCUAAGUCGUAAGACGAUGUAUGGGGGCUGACGCCUGCCCAGUGCCAGAAGGUUAAAGAAGUUGGUUAGCAAUUGCGAAGCUGAUAACUGAAGCCCUGGUGAACGGCGGCCGUAACAAUAACGGUCCUAAGGUAGCGAAAUUCCUUGUCGGGUAAGUUCCGACCCGCACGAAAGGCGUAAUGAUUUGGAUCUGCCUCGGAGAGGGGCUCGGUGAAAUAGACUUGUCUGUGAAGAUGCGGACUACCUGCACCAGGACAGAAAGACCCUAUGAAGCUUUACUGUAACUUGAAAUUGAAAUUGGACUUUAUUCGCGCAGUAUAGGUGGGAGGCGUUGAUUAUAAUCUUGUGGGAUUAUUGGAGCCAUCAGUGAGAUACCACUCUUGUAAUGUUAGAUUUCUAACUUUGAAUCAUUAUCUGGUCAAAGAACAGUUUCAGGCGGGCAGUUUGACUGGGGCGGUCGCCUCCUAAACGGUAACGGAGGCGUACAAAGGUUUCCUCUGAACGGUUAGAAAUCGUAUCUAGAGUGUAAAGGCAUAAGGAAGCUUGACUGUGAGACCUACAAGUCGAGCAGGGACGAAAGUCGGUCUUAGUGAUCUGACGGUACUGAGUGGAAAGGCCGUCACUCAACGGAUAAAAGUUACUCUAAGGAUAACAGGCUGAUCUCCCCCAAGAGUUCACAUCGACGGGGAGGUUUGGCACCUUGAUGUCGGCUCAUCGCAUCCUGGGGCGGUAGUACGUCCCAAGGGUUGGGCUGUUCGCCCAUGAAAGCGGUACGCGAGCUGGGUUCAGAACGUCGUGAGACAGUUCGGUCCAUAUCCGGUGUAGGCGUUAGAAUAUUGAGAGGAGCCUUCUUUAGUACGAGAGGACCGAGAAGGACAUACCUCUGGUGUACCAGUUAUCGUGCCAACGGUAAACGCUGGGUAGCUAUGUAUGGAGUGGAUAACCGCUGAAAGCAUCUAAGUGGGAAGCCCACCUCAAGAUAAGUAUUCUCAUC